AUGGUUGUGUUGACCGCCGGACUUGGCCGGGUGAGCACGAAGCCCAAUCCCUUCCAUCCCCCUUUGAUCCCCUUCUAUCCACGCGUCUCCCAAGCCCCGAGGGCACACGCAGGGAACACGCCCCGCCCGCCUCUCCAUCUCGGCCUCCGGCUCCCGCUCCGCCGCCCCGUCGCCACCACCGCCCACGCCGCGAGCUCCCUCUCCUCCGCCCGCGGCGACCCGCGUGAGGCGGCGGUGGCGGAGCUUCUGCGGGACCACGGCGCAUCGCCGGAGGACGCGGCCGCCAUCGCCGCGCGCGCGUCGGGGUACGCAGCCAUGCUGGCUGACGGCGUCAGGGGCUGGAAGAGCUCGGGCUCUGGGCGUCCUGGAGAGCCAGGGCGGGCGCGCUCGGGUUCGGCAGGAAGGUGUACUUCAUGGGGCGGAGCCGGCGCGACGGCCCCGUCGUCCUGCUCGUCGAGAGCCUCGGCGUGCACCUCUCCUCCGCCAAGCUCAUCGCGCCCUACUUGCCGCCGAGGGGCUCCCCGUGCUCAUCCUCAGGAGGACAAACAUCUUCAGGCAUUAAUUGAUUUCCUCGAACACAUUGGAGUUCCCAAGCCAAGGAUUCCAUCAACUCUGCUGGCAUUUCCUCCUAUUAUCCUUUCUGAUGUCAAAAAGGAUAUCAAGCCAAGGAUUCAUGCAUGGGAGAAGGUUCUCAUGCACCAAAAGAAGCAACAAUAG
RNAcentral lists this ribosomal RNA (717 nucleotides) under Triticum aestivum (bread wheat). Its description in RNAcentral is "partial small subunit ribosomal RNA". Lineage: Eukaryota; Viridiplantae; Streptophyta; Magnoliopsida; Poales; Poaceae. The record is from RNAcentral.